ACGGGUGUAGCUCAGUGGAUCAGAGCGUUGACAUGUUAAGUCAUAUGCAUGGGUCCGAUUCCCAUCGCCCGUU
RNAcentral lists this transfer RNA (73 nucleotides) under Lachnospiraceae bacterium. Its description in RNAcentral is "tRNA-Asn". It matches the Rfam family "tRNA". From Rfam's summary of the family: Transfer RNA (tRNA) molecules are approximately 80 nucleotides in length. The record is from RNAcentral. Lineage: Bacteria; Bacillati; Bacillota; Clostridia; Lachnospirales; Lachnospiraceae.